UGACAACAUCGACAUUGGCAUAUUCCAUUAAUUCUUAGGGUAUCAUUUUUCAAUAACAGACAAUACUAAUAUCAUUAAGAUAUUAACAGACAACAAUAGCAACACAUCAACUCCAAAAAACUGUCUGAAGCAGUCAAUAAACUAGUAUCAUUUUUCAGUAACAGACAGCACUAAUUGAAGCAUCAAAUCUUGUUUGCAUAAUAAUUAUUAAGAAUGAAUCUAGUUUAACAAAAUCCUAUAC
RNAcentral lists this long non-coding RNA (241 nucleotides) under Theobroma cacao (cacao). RNAcentral's name for it is "long non-coding RNA (TCAC_LNC003437)". Lineage: Eukaryota; Viridiplantae; Streptophyta; Magnoliopsida; Malvales; Malvaceae. The record is from RNAcentral.